UGCUAAUUUAUUUUUCUUUUUCUUUUCAUACUGGUAAUUUAGCCAAUGCUUUUAUGUUAAAAAAUCUAUUUAAAAUAUAUAUAUUAAAACAAAAAUUAAUGUUAUAUACAUUAAUUGAAUAACUUUACCAAAGAAACAAAUUAUAAAGUAUUUGUGUUUAGUAUGUAUAAUAUAUAUGUAGAACUACAGUAUAACAAAUGUACAAAGUAAACAAAUAUAUAAUCAAAUGCUCAAAAAUAAUAUAUCAGUCAUUCUUAUCAAAAUAUUUUGAAGAAUUUUUAUUUGAAAACAUAUAUUUUUUGUUUAACAUGUAUAACAUUAAAUAUCUCAAAAAUAAAUGUGUUAAUUUUAAAUCAAUUGAUUUUUAUAUACAAGUACAGUACAAAGAUAAAAUAUAUAUUUAAAUAAUUGCAUUAAAUAAUAAGACCAUAUUUAAAUGAAUAAAACGGUGUAAUAUUUUCACUCUAUCAGAUGUUUGAUGAUAUAAUAAUUAUAAUUUAUAUGAAAAUUGAAGAAUAACUAUCAGUAAGUGAAAUAUAAACCUUGAAAUGCUGAAAUAUUUAUAUCUAUUGAUUGAAUCAAAAUCCUACAAACUAGAUUUUGAAAUAAGACCCAUCUUCAAUAAAUAUUAUAAUAGAGUAAAUGAACAAAGUAAUUUUACUUGAGAGUGUAAAAUCAUUACUUGGUAUCUUGGCAGAUUUAAAAAUUUUAGAUAAAAUAAAUACUGUAAAUGAAUAUCGCUAAGUACAGUAUAUAGUAAGUCAUUGAAAACAGUAGACCAAAGAUUGUUGCAGUAGACUCUUAUACAGACCCAUACUUGUCAGAUGCAUAACAAUAGAUAACUGAUUCACAUUAUACUAGUAUUAUCAAAUAAUAGUGUAUGUAGUGUUGCUAUAAUUUCAAAAAAUCCUUAAAAUAUGUCAAAAAUUGCUAAAUUCCUUUUCUGCUAUUGUCCCAAUUAAGCAAAAAGUUAUCC
Molecule: long non-coding RNA, 976 nt
Filed under: Androctonus crassicauda
Lineage: Eukaryota; Metazoa; Arthropoda; Arachnida; Scorpiones; Buthidae
Source: RNAcentral